AAAUUGGAGUUUAUGGUUUUGCAUUGAAAGUUCCUGAAAAGUCUAUCUUGUCCGUAUCUUGCUGUUACCUUCUGUUAAUUGAUUAUGUUGUGUAUAUGAUUUGCACACCGAAUUUCUGUUAACAGUUGAAAUUUUUAAUUAAGAUUGCUCCGUGAUUUGUAUAUGUUUACCAAUUCCCAUUUACUCUAAAGGUAAAAGUAAUUUAUGAACAAUAGAGCUAGACCACCUCCCCACCCAUUGGUGCAUUAUGUGCAAGACAGCUUCUGAAAGAAUAGACCAUAAACUACCUGCUGCUUCACUGUCCAGUGGCCUCACUUUUAUGGUCUCAAGUGUUCAGGGAGGCAAAUCUUGGGAUGACCAGCCUCCUUUAAUGUGUUAUAUAGUGAGAGGGGUGGAUAGGAAUAGAAGGGUCUUUGAGCAUGCAAAGGGUGAAGAGGUGGAGCAUUUAGGGUGAAAGGGUUUGUGUUUGGCAUCUUUAUGAGAUCUGCUUCGGAAUUUAGGUAGUAUUCUGUAUUUAUAAUCUUGUUGGACUGUAAUGCAGCUGUGUAGAAAUACUAUAGUUUUAGUUCUUUUGUUUGGUUUAGUUCUUAGAUGAAGCAGAAUAAUUGUUUCAGGGUCUUUUGUAUUUUUCUCAGUGAACUCCUUGUUCACUCUCUCUAAUUUUUCUUAAUUUUUUCUCACCAAAAAAAAAAAAAAAAGUGUUCCGGUUUCAAAUGAAUUUCAUUUCUUAUGUGUUUGUGUAUGUGUGUGUGUGUGGAUCGAGAUGUGCAAUAUGUAGUUAUUUUGAUGGAAAGUUGUUUGGCAUGGUCUUCCUUGAAAAGCGUACUUUAAGUACUAGCCUGUUUCUUCUUCGUAUGAUUUCCUUUCCCCAUGUUCUAUACGUGCUUUCUGAUCGUCCUUUUUACUGGUCUUUGUAUAGAGAUUGGGGUCUCUCACAGACAUCUUGGGUUAUCGUUUAUGUUAGAGAGAUUUCCUCUCAGCAUUCACAACUGAUUUAGUAACUGAUGUAACAGUUUUGAUAUUCUGCAUCUAUAGUCUUUAAUGCUCUAUAUAGACUUUUGUAAUUAUAGCUUCUGUAUAGCCUAUAUAUCUGUACAUUGUAAACACAAUUGAAUCAAUGAAAACCAAUUUCUACA
Molecule: long non-coding RNA, 1136 nt
Organism: Rosa rugosa (rugosa rose)
Lineage: Eukaryota; Viridiplantae; Streptophyta; Magnoliopsida; Rosales; Rosaceae
Exons: 2
Source: RefSeq, a predicted model, not a curated record